UUUUAAAUUCAAAAGGUGUCAUACAGAGUAUUCAAUAGAGUUUAAUAGAGUUCAAAGUAGCUGCUCACGGCAGCUUUCCUUUCUGUCAUUGGACGGUGCAGGAGUAUAAAUUGAAAUGGGAGUGUGUGUGCUUCACAUGUGCCUCCCAGUUCAAUUAGAAGGCACAUCACGCAAGGGGAGCUUCUGUGAACGUCAGGGCCUGUGGAAGACUAACACCAGGGAGAUCAUAAGUCACAAGGCAGAAAUGUGUGAUCAUCAAGAAAAAGAGCACAAGCACAGAAGACCACCUGGCUCAAAAGCUCCACAUGUGAAGCACCACCAUCAAAAUCAAGGCCAUCAUCGUCACAAUAAUAAACAAAGGUCGGAUGGCAACGAUAGUCAUGACACUCAUUCAACAGCAGAGGAGAGCAUUUUGAGUGAUCAUCAUACCAACCAUCAACAUCAGUCCGAAUCUCACCAUUACCACCACAAGCAAAACCAUCGUCAUGUUUCUCUUUCACAAACUUCCUCAAGUUCCUCAAGCCAUUCUUCUUCAUCCUCUUCAUCUUCAUCGACAUCCUCAUCUUCCUCCUUGUCCUCCUCCUCCUCCUCCUCCUCUUCUUCUUCCUCCUCCCCUUCCUCUUCCUCUUCCUCUUCUACAACAUCUUCCUCUUCUUCUAGUCUGUCUUCUCAGAACAGCAGCAACAGUGACACUUCAGAUAGCAAUCCUUUCAGGAAGCCACAGCAUUCACAAUCCUGGACCGAUAUCUCUGGAAAACACAAGUACUUUGAUGAAGGAGAUGACAUGGCUCCUUUGAUAAAUAAACCAGCUAAUUCAAAUGAGCUGCCCAACAAACAGAAACAAGAGAAAAGCAAGUCCUCUCGUUGUGGCCCCAAAAAUGGAAGCUCAAAAAGCCCUAAGAAAAUUACAAGAAGCUUUGAAAAUGAUGGAAGUUUCCGCAAAGCCAAAUCAAUGGAGGCUCUCACCACACCCAAAGACAAAGGAAAUGGAAAUGAGGAUGAAAAUGAAUCGGAGAAGAGGGAAAAUGAAGCCAGGAAGAAUUUAAUGAAAGAAAAAAUGAAGUUCUCUGCUUUUCUUAAUGAGAUUACUCGGCAAGUGCUCAGCCCAAUGAGGCUAACCACUCUUGGCGUGACAGAUGCGCAACGACCCUGCAGUCCAGGGCAGGCCUCUCUUAGAUCCAGGAAGGCAGACAGCAGGACUGACAAACCUAGACAGCAAAGUCGCCCCACCAGUGCAGACUCAAUUAGCUCCAGCAAAUAUUCACACUCUUCGCAGUUGUCUCAGUCUAAAUCUUUCCACGGUGAAAGUCGCUAUUUUGAAGAGUCAUCCCAUCACAUGCAUCAUAGGCCAAAAAGCUGCACAGAAUUCAGUUGUUUUAGAAGACGUCAUUCAUGGUCUCAAUCUCCUGAGCGUCACUCCCAUUCUUUUAAGCACUGCCAUAACCACCACAAAGGAGCCCAUGAGACUUCUAGUCACCAUCACCAUCAUCAUUACCAUGAAAAUAGCCCAAGUCAUCGCCAUCAUCACAGAAAGGACCACAGUCCUGUAUAUCCCCAUGGAGAUUCACACAGCCAUACUUACCACAACAAAGAUCACCACACUGCAUCACAUCACGAUCACCAUGGGCAACAUCGACAUAGAGAACCCUAUAGCCCAUCCCAUCAUCAUAGUAAUGCACACCAUCACCACCAUGGCAAGCACUACGGUCAUGUUCAUCACCAUCACCAUCAUCAUGUAGACCACAAUAGCCAAGGCCAUCACCAAGGAGACCAUGAUAGUCCAGACCAUCACCAUCAUCACAAAGACCACCAUAGUCCAGACCAUCACCAUCAUCACAAAGCCCACCAUAGUCCAGACCAUCACCAUCAUCACAAAGACCACCAUAGUCCAGACCAUCACCAUCAUCACAGAGAACACCAUAGCCCAGGUCACCACCAUCACCAUGGAGACAACAAUAGUCUAGAGGAUCACCAUCAUCGUGGAGACCACCACAGUCCAGACCAUCACCAUCAUCAUGGAGACCACCACAGUCCAGACCAUCACCAUCAUCAUGGAGAUCGCCAUAGCCAAGGCCAUCACCAUCACCAUGGGGGCCACCAUAGUCCAAACCAUCACCAUGACCAUCACCAUGGGGACCACAAUAGCCCAGAACACCACCAUCAUCAUGACCACCACAGUCCAGUGCAUCAGCAUCAUGGAGACCACCACAAUCUGGGGCAUCCCCAUCAUCAUCAUGGAGACCACCACAGUCAAGAUCAUCAUCACCAUCAUCAUAGAGAUCACCACCUUUCAGACCAUCAUCGUCAUGAUGGAGACCAUCACAGUCCAGACCAUCACUAUCGUCACCGUGACCAUCAUAGUUCGAACAUUCACCAUCAACAUGACCACCACAGUCUAGAUCAUCAUCAUCAUGAUGACCAUCAUAGUUCAGGCCAUCAUCACCAUGAAGAUCAACAUAGGGAAUCUCAUCACCAUCAUGGAGACCAACACAAUCCAGGCCAUUGCGUACAACAUGGAGACCACUACAGAUCAGGUCAUCACCACCAUGAAUCACAUCCCAACCAGCACCACUCAAGAAACAGUGAUCUUGACCAUGAUGACCACCACACUCAUUUGAAGGGGCAUUCUGCUGGCAGUCCACCGGCACACGGGAAGACAGAGUCUCUUUCCAUUAAACCAGAGUCUUCCGGGACAACAGCAAGCAAGCCCAGCAGCCACGAAGAGGAACGAACAAGUUUCAUUGGUCCAUCAUUACAUCAAGAGAAGAAACAGGAGCUGGGUAGAAUCAUGAUAAUACAGGAACAAAAUGAAGGUCUGCACCACAGUUUGCUGAAGACAGCUGUGAGGAUGGAGUGUUUGGGAGAGGAAUUCAUGAGUAGCCAAAAGCUGUUGGAGGCAGAACUUCAGAGGACACGCACAGAGCUCAGCAACCUCACGGAGAGGUUUAAGAGACUACAUGAUAACUGCUCCUCCACACAGCAGACUAAUAAUGUUCUGGAGCAAAAGCUUCACUCAGUGACUCAAAAUAUGGAAGAAGAACGACAAAGGUUGAACCGUCGUAUUUCGGAGCUGACGCAGCAGCUUGGUAAUGUGAAAUUUGCCAACUCUGGCGAAGUGUUCAGUGUGACUUCUGCGAUACACAAAAACAACCAUCAUUUUCAGUCAGAUGAUACCAUCAAUCAGGUGGUUCUCCCAAUCGCUCCUCCUCCAGUUCAGUUUAUGGACAACGAUAAUUAUGGAAAGGUUAAAGCUGCUGAGCAGGAGCAACCUCUAGGGUCAGUCCCAGAGGAGGAGGAAUCUGACUGGUCUGAAAUGGGAGAAGAGACCCCACGGCUUAUACUGACAGGAUCAAGCAGGGGUCAGACCUGGAGACACCGGGAGGCAGACCUGGACAGAGACAGCGAGUCAGGAAGUGAGGAAAUUCCCAGACAACACUCUCCACGCCCACUGCAAAUACCUCAUCUUCAGUUCACCUCCCACAGUGACAAUUUACCCGCACCACAAACUAGUUCUCGCUCUUCUGGCAUGAAGAAUCUGUCUGAUGGCAUGACAGGUGAGGGAAGUUACAGGUCCUCUAGUCCAAACCACGGAUCUGCCAUUCUUAUCCGGUCAGCAAGCCUGGAGGAAAUUCCUCUGGCAUGCCAUCACAUGCAAAAAGAGCUGAGAGGCACAGAGGCCAUGAUGGACCUCCGCCAUCGAGGGAAUGAAGCUACUGAGGAUUUAGAUAAUGAGAUCAUUCAUCAUUGGAACACAAGCAACCACAGGGAUAUGAUUAUUGGGAGGCCAAUUGAUAGCAGUAUGUCAGUGGCAGAUAGCAGCUUGGCCAGCCUGCAGUCAGCCGAGCGGAUGCUAAACCACUUCAUAUGUGAUUCAUACACUACAGAGGGAAGAGUGCAGGACAGGGCUGAAGUACAUGGCUGGAUGGGAGGGAUUCCAGAUGAGGUGCUGAAAGGAGAGCGAACAAAGCUGUGA
RNAcentral lists this long non-coding RNA (3973 nucleotides) under Oreochromis niloticus (Nile tilapia). RNAcentral's name for it is "lncRNA (ENSONIG00000027060.2)". The record is from RNAcentral. Lineage: Eukaryota; Metazoa; Chordata; Actinopteri; Cichliformes; Cichlidae.